AAUGACUUAAUUUUAUGCAAUACAUUCCAUUAGCAUUGUGAUUUAUUGUCAGAAGGCGUAUCAGUUUUUAAGAAAGGUAUUUGUGAUAUUGUAUGUGGAUAAAACUAAUCCCUAAACCUGCUGGAUCAAAAAUUAUUUUGUCUUGGACACCCUGAGUAUACAGACAGACCACCCUGAACUUUGAUCCUUGCAGUUUGAUCAGGGUCUACUUUUUUGGCUUUAAGUUACUAUUGAUUUUCAUCACAAUAUACCUGAAUUGAUAAUUGACCAGUGUUUUUUCUCAUUUAAUUUGGAAGAGGCCUUAGCCUCUUGAUUUUGGGAAAAAUUAUUGCUAAAAAUGCUAAUUUGGGAAGGAGAAAAGCUGGUUAAGUUCAGACUUUUGGGAAAACUGUAUGAUUUUAAAUAAAAUUUCCUUUUGGAAGAGGCCUUAUAUAGGCCUCUCUUAUACACAGUGUAUGGUGAAAAAUUACUGUGGACUUGUAAUUAAAUGAAAGUUGAACAUAUCCAAUCUAGAAAUUCAAUAGGCUAUUAUUUAAGAAAAAAAUGUAAAAAUAUAUUUUGAAGUAGAGUUGAAUCCACUUUCAAAGAGUCAAGAACGUGUACAUUUCAUGCAAAAUAUGUUUAAAAUGCAUUAUCAUAUUUGAAUUUCUUUCCAAUUAAAUUGUAGUGAGGGCUUUUUUUGGCCACAAAUCUAUAAAGGCAUCUUUUAUGUUUUUGUUAAAAGCUAUUUUAUGUUAUUUUUCUACUUUUUACCUUUAAUUAAACUAACUCAGAGUAGACUAUGAACUUCAAACAUAUUUCUAUGUAGGGCGAUGCUCUUUUUGCCCUACGCAAAUUUUGCAUGCGCGAGAAAAUACUACUUCCUAUCGAUAUUUCAUAGCAACGGACCCCAUCGUAAAGGAGACAAAGAGUUAAUUAGUUAUAACAAUGGCUGUCCAAACCCUCAGGAAGAGGGGGGGGGGAUAGCAGGGAAAAAGAGCAAAUUUUUUUACCAACUCUUCAAACUUCUCUAUAUGUAACUAACUAUAAAUGUAAGUUAGUUUGAUAUUAUGUAUGUAGCAAAGGGAAAUAUGCAAUAUAUAAUUUUAUACAAGUUUUUUUUACGCAAAUACUGGGCAAUGUUUUUAGAUUUUCAUUUCAGUUGCUACAUUCCAGAAAUUGAACAUGUAUUUUAUUAGAUGAAAUGAUAAUGUGUUCUAUUUUUGUAAAAAAAAAUUUAGUGUGUUUUACUGUUUUAUAAUUUGUAAUUAACUUUUACAUGACUUUACGAUGUAAGAUUUAAAGUUUUACAAAACUGUAAACUAGAUAAUAAUGUUUUUCCUGCAUAAUAAUAAUCAAGUGAUAUUAUCUUCAAACAUGUUUAUAUUAAUCUGAUUUAUUUAAAGUAUUGUUAUUAUUAAAGAAAAAGCA
Long non-coding RNA from Ruditapes philippinarum (Manila clam), 1410 nucleotides. RefSeq lists it as uncharacterized. NCBI's taxonomy places the organism in Eukaryota, Metazoa, Mollusca, Bivalvia, Venerida, Veneridae. The transcript has 2 exons. The record is from RefSeq and is a predicted model, not a curated record.